GGGCCUAUAGCUCAACGGCAGAGCAGAGCUCUCAUAAAGCUUUGGUUACAGGUUCGAAUCCUGUUGGGCCCA
This 72-nucleotide transfer RNA is filed under the name Chloroflexota bacterium. Its description in RNAcentral is "Chloroflexi bacterium (mine drainage metagenome) tRNA-Ile". It matches the Rfam family "tRNA". Rfam says of the family: Transfer RNA (tRNA) molecules are approximately 80 nucleotides in length. Their secondary structure includes four short double-helical elements and three loops (D, anti-codon, and T loops). Further hydrogen bonds mediate the characteristic L-shaped molecular structure. tRNAs have two regions of fundamental functional importance: the anti-codon, which is responsible for specific mRNA codon recognition, and the 3' end, to which the tRNAs corresponding amino acid is attached (by aminoacyl-tRNA synthetases). tRNAs cope with the degeneracy of the genetic code in two manners: having more than one tRNA (with a specific anti-codon) for a particular amino acid; and 'wobble' base-pairing, i.e. permitting non-standard base-pairing at the 3rd anti-codon position. The record is from RNAcentral. Lineage: Bacteria; Bacillati; Chloroflexota. RNAcentral also lists the same sequence under 1 other name.